ACAUAUCCCUUAUCUCAGAUUAUUGGCCUAUGACACGUACAGAAGGCAAAAACAGUGACAAUUAAUCAAUAGUAAUACUAAUACUGCAGUCUAAAGUUCUGGACGAAUGCAUGGAAACAUCUACUGCACUGUGAAGUUUUAAAUUAAAUGCAUUAAAAAUCUGGAAAAGAACAGUGACUUUAAUCAAUAGCACUCCAAAAGAGCUACAUGGAAAUACCAAUUGCAACUUGAAGGUUCUCAACGAAAUGCAUUUCCAUUUUUAACCAUCUUGCAGCAUCCUUGUGUAUACAAAUUCAUGCAUGCAAAGAGGAACUGAAUGUGAGCAUACCAACAAUGGAUGCAACAUUUGACCUCACACGCUAACCCCAAGAUAUACAGUUGCGGAAUUUUACUCUGGUCCUAUUUUCCCUACUAUACAAUCAGAUUAAAUGGAAGGAACAAAUUAAUACAUGUAAAGCAUACAUCUCUCCCUCAAAAAAGAAAAACAUACAUCUCUGAAUGUCAUACCAGGUGUUACAAUCUUCAGCCAUCAGAUCAUGCAGGAAUGGCCUCAUACAAAUUGGAUGCCAUUGGGAUCAGAGGGAGGAACCAACAGGCCCAGGGGGAAAUCAAAUUUCUUUGAGAACUGAAAUCAAAAUUUCUUUGAGCACUCUAACUUGUAUGAGAGGAACAUAUAUGAAGGGAGCAAAGAAAUAAAAUACUGCUAGGUUAUUUUGAGAGAGAUAAUCAGGGAUUAAGAUAAUGCAGUAGCUACCUGCUCACGGUUAGGUUCCUCGGCGCUAUUGAAGGAAAGAUAUUAUGGUAACCCUGUAUCACUUAUCAGACCAGUACGUCUUCAUAAUCAAACAAUAUCACCACAAUGUCUAAACCAUGGCCCCAACCACGUCUGAUUAUCCUCUAUGUAAUCAAAGGUUUCUGCAUGCUGUAAGAUUCAUCAGAUCGACGAUCUAAUAGGAAGAUACAAAUUUUCAACAGCUAGAAUAAUCAAGAGAGAACCAGCGCUAACGACACAGGCAAAUAUUGCAACGGUGGAGAAGAGGGGGCUUCUGAAUCAUUCCUGUCGGCCGACGGGGUUGGUGAGCGCGGCGAAGAUGGUAGAAAACGGCGCCGACGUCCCCGCGAGCCCCACCAUAUGCUGCGUGUCCCACCGGUUCCCUGUACCUACCCGUGCACAAACGCCGUGAUAGAGAGCUCAGAUCCAGCCGGCGGCGGAUGCGGAGGCAGGACGGGUGAAACGGGAGAAGAGGCGUACCAUGUGGUGAAGACCUUGAUGGCGAACGCGAGAACGGCGGCGAGUUGCCAAACACGGCUGAGAAGAGGGCGAAACCGCAGGGGUGGCUGCGCGACGAAGGCAGCUUCUACCACCGACAGCCGGUUGGUUCUAGAAGCUUCCAGCCUCCGCCUCCUCUUCGAAGCCUGUACCAGCAGGUGAAGGGCUAAACCUGGAUAUGUGGUCAAUCCUCUCCGGCAGUAUGCGCAUUGUGGGGAGAACAUCUCCGUAUCCCUAUUUAUUUGGUGGAGAAGAAGAAAAGACAUCAGUUUAGAAGAUAGAGAGACUGAUGGAAAUCAAUCGGAGGGGAGUUAAUUAGGGAGAUAAUAAAUGUGCAUGCCAGCUAUUGGGCUGGGAUUCCCUGGGAAGCUAGCGUGCAAAACGCUGCGAGCACCAGCAGGAGACAGGAGACGUGCAGAUUGUUAAGAAUAAAGCGACGUCAUUAGCACUAAGAGUGGUACGUGUGUCCAAAGCGCCGUACGGACGCAAACGUCCGUACGGAUGUCUUCUCGCGCCACAGACGCUUAUUGUAAACGGACGCCUCUCCGGAGGCGUCCCAAAUCCUUGUAUAAAUAGGGCUUUGCCCAGAAUCAAUAAACACAAGUUUUCUUACAAAUUCUUACACGUUAUCAGCACUGCUCUCCGGCGAGAGCGAUUCCGACGAGAAACACAGAGCACGAACAGGACGAGAGAGAAGGUAAGAUGGCAGGGAUGAACCUGCACAACAUCGCCUCUGCACUUGUUUGUUUCAUCCGACGAGAAAUCCAUCGAUCUGAGAGACGACAAAGAGCUGGAGUUUAUCACCCUUGGGGCCCAGGCAACGGCCGCCGUGGUCGUCGUGGCCACCGUGGUUGUGGUCGUGGUCAGGAUUACCCUGGCCCUGCCGCGGCAGAUCAGGCAGGACCAGGCAACCCGCCCGUGGCCGUCCACCGUGCCUACCAGGCACCUCUGAUGCCGGCCUUCGUCACUCCACCAAUGGACUAUGCUCCCGCCGAGGCUGCAGCCCCGUUCCUGGGCGAGGAGGAGUUCUUCGACGCGGCUCAGGCCCCGCCACCGCCAGGGAUCUUCUUCGGCAACGGCAUGGAUGCAGGCGUGGCCUUCUGUCCGGUGCACAGAUACGGACCUUGCCCUGCCCGCGAUUUCUGCCCCGUGCACGGGUACGGGCCGUGCCCUCCACCGCCGGCCACUCCACCACCGAAACCGGAGGUCAUCGACGAGCCACUCGCCUACCCGGACCUCCCAACGCCGACGCCCGCCGACGAAGACGAGGAGCACUUCGCCCCUCCAGGCUAUGGCCCUGUGCCCGCCAUGAUGGAGUGGGAGGUGACGCCGAACGAAGAGGAGGAGCAGUGGCUCAACUCCGUUGUGAAGCAGGAGCCAACCACGCCGGCGGAGACCGACGAACCCGGCGCCACCAUCCCCGACCUCAACACUACCACCGGCGUGAAGAUCGAGGACGCGGCGUCGUCUUCCAUGACCCAAGCAUCUCCACCGUCUCCACCCCCGGCAAGCCCGCGAACGCCUCCACCGGCGGCUCGCCGGAUCCUUCGCCGUUUCGCGGCGGCGCUGGAGCAGCACCGUCCCGGCCUCCGCUCCGGCUCCUGGGCCCCUGCAGGCCUCCACCUCCCCGGCUAUGCUGCGGGGGGGCCGUCCUCCUCCUGAAGAUCGCCGGCGCUGGGCGCCAUCGGCGACGGCCGGCGGGAUCCCGUGGGGAUGGCGGUUGGAAUGGGGGGAAUUGACCCCAACCGCCCCACCUCCCAGUUCCCCUUAUCCGCUCCUUCGGCGGCGCUGCCAUGGGCCUGGGCCGAAAGGCCUCGUGGGCUGUGGCCCACGUUGCAAAAACCAGCAAGAAAAAAAAACAAACAACGGGUGAUAGGCUAGAUUGCAGAAAAAUCCUCAUAUUAUCGGAAUUUCGUGCAUUAGUCCAACUACUAGUACUAAUUUAGUGCUUGUCAUGUUUUAGCCCCAUAAAUUUGGGAAUUCGCAGAUAGGUUCAACUAUUAGUGCUGUAAUUAAGUACUUGUCAUGUUUUAGACCUUGUAUCUCGGUGUGAUUAUAUAUUGUACUCAAUUAAAUUGUGUAUUGAUGUUUAUACCAUAUUAUGUCUAUAAAUCAUUAUAUGUUCAAUGUGUUUGCAAUUCGCAAUCCCUAUAACAUGUACAAAUGUUACAAUAAUAUUAUUUUGCAACUGAAAAUCAUUUAUUUUUGCAACUCAAAUAUUAAUUCGCCAUCAAUUAAGUCCAAAAAAUGCCUAUGUAGCACGAAGUAGACUUAAUUCGAAUAGAAUUAAUAUGCAAAAAAAAAGUUCAAGUCUUUACUUGAAUUUAUAACAAUUGCAAAAAUUAUUACAACAUGACCAUGAUGAUUUUAAUUUACAUACAAGUAAAAUGAUCAAAUAUUUGGUUCUCAAUCUUGUAGGACAAAAUGACCGUCAAAGAAUUUGAAGAGCUUGCACUCGACGGACACAACUAUCCUACAUGGGAUGGAUGUUAAAAUCAGUCUUUCAUCUCGUGGAAUUGCAGCUGCACUCAUACCUCCUGCAGACCCUCCCCAAGAGGGAAUUGCACAAUUAACCGAGCAGCAACAAUAUGCUGCUUUAUAUAUAAUAAGGCACCAUAUCCAUCCAGAUCUAAAAUCUGAAUAUUUGAUGGAGGAAUCUCCAAGCAAUAUGUGGCAAUCACUUAAGACUAGAUAUGAACAGCAAAAGGCAAUUAUACUUCCUGAAGCUAGUCAUGAGUGGACCCAUUUAAGACUCCAAGAUUUCAAAUCGAUCGGAGCUUAUAAUCAUGAGGUUCAUAAAAUUUGUUCAAAGUUGCGGUUUUGCGAGAAGGAGCCUACAGAAGCAGAUAAGAUAGAAAAGACUCUAUCCACUAUGCUCNNNNNNNNNNNNNNNNNNNNNNNNNNNNNNNNNNNNNNNNNNNNNNNNNNNNNNNNNNNNNNNNNNNNNNNNNNNNNNNNNNNNNNNNNNNNNNNNNNNNACGGUGAGAGUGAAACCUGCCCACACGCCUAUGACACAUAGACUGCGCCACGUCACCGCAUACAUGCAGGUGGAAAUCUUUUUAGAUUUUCAAUUUUUAAAAUGUUUUAUCUUUUAAAUGAAAAAUCCGAUUAAGGAUCCGUUUUCACCAUUAAAUCCCUCGCGACGAGAUCUUCGAAACUAGAUCUCAUAUCAAUAUAUUUCGACGAACUUUUUCUGGUUAAAAAUUGCCCUGUCUAUUACAGAUGAAUUGCCAUGGUGUUUAUGCUAAAGUUGCCAUGAUAUGUUUCAGUUAUUUUUUUCUGCAUUUAAAAAUAAAUUUUGACAUUUAUAAAACAUGGAAUUAAAAAAUUAGACUUGCCAUGAACCAUAAACUAAAAUUGCCAUAAUACAUGCACUUAAAAUUGCCAUGGUUCAUACAAAAAAUAAUUUUUAUGAUCAAAGUACUAGAAUUGCCAUCAUCAAAAUACUAAAAUUGCCAUGCUCUACAAACUAAAAUUGCCACAUGACAACUUUAGUUUAAGCACUAUGGCAGCUACAUUGUAAACAUCAUGGCAACUUUUGGGCAAAAAAAAUUUCGUCGAAACAUAUCAACAUGGGGUCUAGUUUUGAGAUCUCGUCGAGACGGAUUUAAUGGUGAAAAUGGAUUUUUAAUUGGAUUUUUUAAUUAGGAGAUAAAACAUUUUUAAGCCAAAACCAAAAAGAUUCCUGCUAACGUCAUCUGUUCACAUGUGGCAAAAUGAGUGAUAAAGAAGGCGUGUGGGCGAUGUACAAGAUACCACACGUGUAGAGGUUAGUUUUUUCCUACAUAUAUAUAAUAGGCUUCACUUGGCAAUACUAGAUACUCCGCACAUAUAUAUAACUAGAUGAUGCCCCGCGCGUUGCCACGGGACUGUAUCGUACAAAUAAUGCUUUCAAUCAUUAAUGAACUUCGUCACAAAGGUGUUAAGGGAGAAGGUUGGUGGAAGCUAUGUUAUAAGUUGUUGACGUGUUUAUGCAUUUGAACAAAAUAAUUCUCACAACGUAAGACAAAAUCUUGAGUUUGUACUGAUGUAAAAGGAUUAACCAUCCAAAUAUUGUCAAUAUGUUUCCGAAAAAUGGUAUUACAAAACUAUUAUCCAUGAUUGUAUUACUGUUGUACAAAUCUUGAACCAAUAAUUUGAAAGCAUGAGACAAAAUUCCUAAAGCGGCACUCGCUUGAUGUUAGUACUAUCUGACAUGCACAUAUCCCUUAUCUCAGAUUAUUGGCCUAUGACACGUACAGAAGGCAAAAACAGUGACAAUUAAUCAAUAGUAAUACUAAUACUGCAGUCUAAAGUUCUGGACGAAUGCAUGGAAACAUCUACUGCACUGUGAAGUUUUAAAUUAAAUGCAUUAAAAAUCUGGAAAAGAACAGUGACUUUAAUCAAUAGCACUCCAAAAGAGCUACAUGGAAAUACCAAUUGCAACUUGAAGGUUCUCAACGAAAUGCAUUUCCAUUUUUAACCAUCUUGCAGCAUCCUUGUGUAUACAAAUUCAUGCAUGCAAAGAGGAACUGAAUGUGAGCAUACCAACAAUGGAUGCAACAUUUGACCUCACACGCUAACCCCAAGAUAUACAGUUGCGGAAUUUUACUCUGGUCCUAUUUUCCCUACUAUACAAUCAGAUUAAAUGGAAGGAACAAAUUAAUACAUGUAAAGCAUACAUCUCUCCCUCAAAAAAGAAAAACAUACAUCUCUGAAUGUCAUACCAGGUGUUACAAUCUUCAGCCAUCAGAUCAUGCAGGAAUGGCCUCAUACAAAUUGGAUGCCAUUGGGAUCAGAGGGAGGAACCAACAGGCCCAGGGGGAAAUCAAAUUUCUUUGAGAACUGAAAUCAAAAUUUCUUUGAGCACUCUAACUUGUAUGAGAGGAACAUAUAUGAAGGGAGCAAAGAAAUAAAAUACUGCUAGGUUAUUUUGAGAGAGAUAAUCAGGGAUUAAGAUAAUGCAGUAGCUACCUGCUCACGGUUAGGUUCCUCGGCGCUAUUGAAGGAAAGAUAUUAUGGUAACCCUGUAUCACUUAUCAGACCAGUACGUCUUCAUAAUCAAACAAUAUCACCACAAUGUCUAAACCAUGGCCCCAACCACGUCUGAUUAUCCUCUAUGUAAUCAAAGGUUUCUGCAUGCUGUAAGAUUCAUCAGAUCGACGAUCUAAUAGGAAGAUACAAAUUUUCAACAGCUAGAAUAAUCAAGAGAGAACCAGCGCUAACGACACAGGCAAAUAUUGCAACGGUGGAGAAGAGGGGGCUUCUGAAUCAUUCCUGUCGGC
This 6534-nucleotide long non-coding RNA is filed under the name Triticum aestivum (bread wheat). Its description in RNAcentral is "long non-coding RNA (TAES_LNC018985)". The record is from RNAcentral. Lineage: Eukaryota; Viridiplantae; Streptophyta; Magnoliopsida; Poales; Poaceae.